This 760-nucleotide ribosomal RNA is filed under the name uncultured Prevotella sp. Its description in RNAcentral is "bacterial SSU rRNA". It matches the Rfam family "Bacterial small subunit ribosomal RNA", at positions 28 to 776 of the family's 1533-position model. The record is from RNAcentral. Lineage: Bacteria; Pseudomonadati; Bacteroidota; Bacteroidia; Bacteroidales; Prevotellaceae.
GAUGAACGCUGGCUACAGGCUUAACACAUGCAAGUCGAGGGGAAACGACAGGGAAGCUUGCUUCCUUGGGCGUCGACCGGCGCACGGGUGAGUAACGCGUAUCCAACCUGCCUCUGACUGAGGGAUAACCCGUCGAAAGUCGGCCUAAUACCUCAUGGCAUCGUCUGCGGGCAUCCAACGACGAUUAAAGAUUUCAUCGGUCAGGGAUGGGGAUGCGUCUGAUUAGCUUGUUGGCGGGGUAACGGCCCACCAAGGCUACGAUCAGUAGGGGUUCUGAGAGGAAGGUCCCCCACAUUGGAACUGAGAUACGGUCCAAACUCCUACGGGAGGCAGCAGUGAGGAAUAUUGGUCAAUGGGCGAGAGCCUGAACCAGCCAAGUAGCGUGCAGGAUGACGGCCCUAUGGGUUGUAAACUGCUUUUAUGCGGGGAUAAAGUGAGGGACGUGUCCUUCAUUGCAGGUACCGCAUGAAUAAGGACCGGCUAAUUCCGUGCCAGCAGCCGCGGUAAUACGGAAGGUCCGGGCGUUAUCCGGAUUUAUUGGGUUUAAAGGGAGCGUAGGCCGUGGAUUAAGCGUGUUGUGAAAUGCAGGUGCUCAACGUCUGCACUGCAGCGCGAACUGGUUCACUUGAGUGUGCGCAACGCAGGCGGAAUUCGUCGUGUAGCGGUGAAAUGCUUAGAUAUGACGAAGAACUCCGAUUGCGAAGGCAGCUUGCGGGAGCACAACUGACGCUGAAGCUCGAAAGUGCGGGUAUCGAACAGG